This 460-nucleotide ribosomal RNA is filed under the name uncultured bacterium. Its description in RNAcentral is "partial 16S ribosomal RNA". It matches the Rfam family "Bacterial small subunit ribosomal RNA", at positions 338 to 795 of the family's 1533-position model. The record is from RNAcentral.
CCUACGGGAGGCUGCAGUGAGGAAUAUUGGUCAAUGGACGCAAGUCUGAACCAGCCAUGCCGCGUGCAGGAAGACGGCUCUAUGAGUUGUAAACUGCUUUUGUACGAGGGUAAAUCCCGACACGUGUACCUGGUUGAAAGUAUCUUACGAAUAAGGAUCGGCUAACUCCGUGCCAGCAGCCGCGGUAAUACGGAGGAUUCAAGCGUUAUCCGGAUUUAUUGGGUUUAAAGGGUGCGUAGGUGGUUUGAUAAGUUAGUGGUGAAAUCCCGGGGCUCAACUCCGACACUGCCUCUGAUACUGUCGGGCGUGAGUUUAGUUGCGGUAGGCGGAAUGUGUGGUGUAGCGGUGAAAUGCAUAGAGAUCAUACAGAACACCGAUUGCGAAGGCAGCUUACCAAACUGCGACUGACGUUGAGGCACGAAAGCGUGGGUAUCAAACAGGAUUAGAUACCCCUGUAGUC